UACGUAGGAUGCAAGCGUUAUCCGGAAUGAUUGGGCGUAAAGCGUCCGCAGGCGGCUGUGCAAGUCUGCUGUUAAAGAGUCUAGCUCAACUAGAUAAAAGCAGUGGAAACUACACGGCUAGAGUACGUUCGGGGCAGAGGGAAUUCCUGGUGUAGCGGUGAAAUGCGUAGAGAUCAGGAAGAACACCAGUGGCGAAGGCGCGCUGCUAGGCCGUAACUGACACUGAGGGACGAAAGCUAGGGGAGCGAAUGGG
This 253-nucleotide ribosomal RNA is filed under the name uncultured bacterium. Its description in RNAcentral is "partial 16S ribosomal RNA". It matches the Rfam family "Bacterial small subunit ribosomal RNA", at positions 524 to 776 of the family's 1533-position model. The record is from RNAcentral.